CAAGUCGAGCGGGAUUGGGGCAGCAAUGUCCCAUGAGAGCGGCGCACGGGUGAGUAACGCGUACACGACCUACCUUUGACUGGGGGAUAGCCCUGGGAAACUGGGAUUAAUACCGCAUAUAAUUCUGAUAAAUAAAGAGUCGGAAUGAAAGUUCAGGCGGUCAAAGAUGGGUGUGCGUCUGAUUAGCUAGUUGGUAGGGUAACGGCCUACCAAGGCGAUGAUCAGUAGGGGGCGUGAGAGCGUGGUCCCCCACACGGGUACUGAGACACGGACCCGACUCCUACGGGAGGCAGCAGUAAGGAAUAUUGGACAAUGGCCGCAAGGCUGAUCCAGCCAUCCAGCGUGCAGGAAGAAGGCCCUAUGGGUUGUAAACUGCUUUUAUCAGGGAAGAAACCUCUCGAUUCAUCGGGAGCUGACGGUACCUGAAGAAUAAGCACCGGCUAACUCCGUGCCAGCAGCCGCGGUAAUACGGAGGGUGCGAGCGUUAUCCGGAAUUACUGGGUUUAAAGGGUGCGUAGGCGGCUAUGUAAGUCAGAUAGUGAAAGUUUGCGGCUCAACCGUAAAAUUGCUUUUGAUACUGCAUAGCUAGAAUUAGGAUGAGGUCAGCGGAAUGUGGCAUGUAGCGGUGAAAUGCAUAGAUAUGCCAUAGAACACCAAUUGCGAAGGCAGCUGGCUAGACCUGGAUUGACGCUGAGGCACGAAAGCGUGGGGAUCGAACAGGAUUAGAUACCCUGGUAGUCCACGCCCUAAACGAUGCUCACUCGACGUAUGAUGCUUGACAUUGUGCGUCCAAGGGAAACCGUUAAGUGAGCCACCUGGGGAGUACGACCGCAAGGUUGAAACUCAAAGGA
RNAcentral lists this ribosomal RNA (851 nucleotides) under uncultured Bacteroidota bacterium. RNAcentral describes it as "bacterial SSU rRNA". It matches the Rfam family "Bacterial small subunit ribosomal RNA", at positions 58 to 908 of the family's 1533-position model. Lineage: Bacteria; Pseudomonadati; Bacteroidota. The record is from RNAcentral.